This 109-nucleotide small nuclear RNA is filed under the name Nannospalax galili (Upper Galilee mountains blind mole rat). The record is from RNAcentral. Lineage: Eukaryota; Metazoa; Chordata; Mammalia; Rodentia; Spalacidae.
GUGCUCGCUUCGGCAGCACAUACACUAAAAAAUUGGAACGAUACAGAGAAGAUUAGCAUGGCCCCUGCACAAGGAUGGCAUGCAAAUUUGUGAAGCGUUCUGUAUUUUU